AUUGAACGCUGGCGGCAUGCCUAACACAUGCAAGUCGAGCGGACGAAGGGAGCUUUCUCCUGGCUUCAGCGGCGGACGGGUGAGUAAUUCCUAGGAAGCUGCCUGGUAUUUGGGGAUAACGUCCGGAAACGGGCGCUAAUACCGCAUACGUCCUGAUGUUGAACGGCGGGGAUCUUCGGACCUCACGCUAUCUGAUGACCCUAGGUCGGAUUAGCUAGUUGGUGUGGUAAAGGCCUACCAAGGCGACGAUCCGUAACUGGUCUGAGAGGAUGAUCAGUCACACUGGAACUGAGACACGGUCCAGACUCCUACGGGAGGCAGCAGUGGGGAAUAUUGGGCAAUGGGCGAAAGCCUGAUCCAGCCAUGCCGCGUGUGUGAAGAAGGUCUUCGGAUUGUAAAGCACUUUAAGUUGGGAGGAAGGGAAGUAAGUUAAUACAUUGAUGUUUUGACGUUACCAACAGAAUAAGCACCGGCUAACUUCGUG
This 484-nucleotide ribosomal RNA is filed under the name uncultured bacterium. RNAcentral's name for it is "partial 16S ribosomal RNA". It matches the Rfam family "Bacterial small subunit ribosomal RNA", at positions 30 to 507 of the family's 1533-position model. The record is from RNAcentral.